RNAcentral lists this ribosomal RNA (1037 nucleotides) under Curtobacterium sp. RNAcentral's name for it is "bacterial SSU rRNA". It matches the Rfam family "Bacterial small subunit ribosomal RNA", at positions 56 to 1106 of the family's 1533-position model. Lineage: Bacteria; Bacillati; Actinomycetota; Actinomycetes; Micrococcales; Microbacteriaceae. The record is from RNAcentral.
UGCAGUCGACGAUGAUGCCCAGCUUGCUGGGUUGAUUAGUGGCGAACGGGUGAGUAACACGUGAGUAACCUGCCCCUGACUCUGGGAUAAGCGUUGGAAACGACGUCUAAUACUGGAUAUGAUCGCCGGCCGCAUGGUCUGGUGGUGGAAAGAUUUUUUGGUUGGGGAUGGACUCGCGGCCUAUCAGCUUGUUGGUGAGGUAAUGGCUCACCAAGGCGACGACGGGUAGCCGGCCUGAGAGGGUGACCGGCCACACUGGGACUGAGACACGGCCCAGACUCCUACGGGAGGCAGCAGUGGGGAAUAUUGCACAAUGGGCGAAAGCCUGAUGCAGCAACGCCGCGUGAGGGAUGACGGCCUUCGGGUUGUAAACCUCUUUUAGUAGGGAAGAAGCGAAAGUGACGGUACCUGCAGAAAAAGCACCGGCUAACUACGUGCCAGCAGCCGCGGUAAUACGUAGGGUGCAAGCGUUGUCCGGAAUUAUUGGGCGUAAAGAGCUCGUAGGCGGUUUGUCGCGUCUGCUGUGAAAUCCCGAGGCUCAACCUCGGGCUUGCAGUGGGUACGGGCAGACUAGAGUGCGGUAGGGGAGAUUGGAAUUCCUGGUGUAGCGGUGGAAUGCGCAGAUAUCAGGAGGAACACCGAUGGCGAAGGCAGAUCUCUGGGCCGUAACUGACGCUGAGGAGCGAAAGCAUGGGGAGCGAACAGGAUUAGAUACCCUGGUAGUCCAUGCCGUAAACGUUGGGCGCUAGAUGUAGGGACCUUUCCACGGUUUCUGUGUCGUAGCUAACGCAUUAAGCGCCCCGCCUGGGGAGUACGGCCGCAAGGCUAAAACUCAAAGGAAUUGACGGGGGCCCGCACAAGCGGCGGAGCAUGCGGAUUAAUUCGAUGCAACGCGAAGAACCUUACCAAGGCUUGACAUACACCGGAAACGGCCAGAGAUGGUCGCCCCCUUGUGGUCGGUGUACAGGUGGUGCAUGGUUGUCGUCAGCUCGUGUCGUGAGAUGUUGGGGUUAAGUCCCGCAACGAGCGCAACCCUC